AGAGUUUGAUCCUGACUCAGAACGAACGCUGGCGGCGUGGAUUAGGCAUGCAAGUCGAACGAUAAUUUCUGGUAUCGCAAGAUAUCGGAGAAGAGAGUGGCGGAAGGGUGAGUAACGCGUGGGCAAUUUGCCUUGAAGAUCGGGAUAGCUCUUCGAAAGGAGGGAUAAUACCGAAUGUGGUCGCCUCGGGCAUCCGAGGUUGUCUGAAGGUGGGGAUUCGUAAGAACCUGUCACUUCAAGAUGAGCCCGCGUCCCAUCAGCUAGUUGGUGAGGUAAUGGCCCACCAAGGCUUACGGGUAGCUGGUCUGAGAGGAUGGUCAGCCACACUGGGACUGAGAUACUGCCCAGACUCCUACGGGAGGCUGCAGCCGAGGAUCAUUCGCAAUGCGCGAAAGCGUGACGAUGCGACGCCGCGUGUAGGAUGAAGGCCUUCGGGUCGUAAACUACUGUCGUAGGGGAACAAUGAUUGGUGCAUGAAUAAUGCAUCAAAGUGAUAGUACCCUAGGAGGAAGCCACGGCUAACUCUGUGCCAGCAGCUGCGGUAAUACAGAGGUGGCAAGCGUUGUUCGGAUUUACUGGGCGUAAAGGGUGCGUAGGCGGUUUCGUGUGUCAGAUGUGAAAGCCUAUCGUUCAUCGAUAGAAUUGCAUUUGAAACUACGAGGCUAGAGUUCAGGAGAGGGGAGUGGAAUUCUUGGUGUAGCGGUGAAAUGCGUAGAUAUCAAGAGGAACACCGGUUGCGAAGGCGGCUCCCUGGAAUGACACUGACGCUGAGGCACGAAAGCUAGGGGAGCAAACAGGAUUAGAUACCCUGGUAGUCCUAGCCCUAAACGGUGUGCAUUUGGUGUAGGCAGGUUUGUCCCUGUCUGUGCCGGAGCUAACGCGUUAAAUGCACCGCCUGGGGAGUACGGUCGCAAGGCUAAAACUCAAAGGAAUUGACGGGGGCCCGCACAAGCGGUGGAAUAUGUGGCUUAAUUCGAUGCAACGCGAAGAACCUUACCAGGGCUUGACAUGCAACUGCACGUCCCGUGAAAGCGGGAUUCCUUCGAGGGUGUUGCACAGGUGCUGCAUGGCUGUCGUCAGCUCGUGCCGUGAGGUGUUGGGUUAAGUCUCGCAACGAGCGCAACCCCUAUGAUUAGUUGCCAUCACAGUAAUGUGGGCACUCUAAUCAGACUGCCUGUGAUAAGCAGGAGGAAGGUGGGGAUGACGUCAAGUCAGUAUGGUCCUUAUGUCCUGGGCUGCACACGUAUUACAAUGGACGGUACAGAAGGAAGCAAGACCGCGAGGUGGAGCCAAUCCUCAAAAACCGUCCUUAGUUCGGAUUGAAGUCUGCAACUCGACUUCAUGAAGCCGGAAUCGCUAGUAAAGGCGUAUCAGCUACGACGCCUUGAAUACGUUCCCGGGCCUUGUACACACCGCCCGUCACAUCAUGAAAGCCGAUUGCACCCGAAGUCGCUGAUCUAACCCGCAAGGGGAGAAAGUGCCGAAGGUGUGGUUGGUGAUUGGGAUGAAGUCGUAACAAGGUA
Molecule: ribosomal RNA, 1523 nt
Filed under: metagenome
Description: bacterial SSU rRNA
Rfam family: Bacterial small subunit ribosomal RNA
Source: RNAcentral